AUGCUCACCUUUCUGCGCCGCGUUACUGCUUCUGCACCAUCCUCAAGUUCUGCUGGUUCUGCUAGUCAGACGUCUGGUCCACCACCGCACUCUUUAUCAGGUACAUCUUUGCCCUGGAUUCUUGAUUCUGGGGCCUCCUUCCACAUGACACCACACAAAGAUCACCUUUGUGCUGUCAACUCUGUGCCUUCUCCACUUACGAUUCAGACUGCAGAUGGCACUUCUCUUCCUGUUGCCGCAAGAGGGACUCUUUCCAUGUCUUCUUUUCAUGUCCCUGCCAUUUCUCAUGUUCCUAAACUGACUAUGCAACUUCUAUCUGUUGGUCAACUUACUGACUUGGGUUGUCGUGUUAUUCUGGAUUCUGACUCUUGUUGUGUUUAG
This 381-nucleotide ribosomal RNA is filed under the name Triticum aestivum (bread wheat). Its description in RNAcentral is "partial small subunit ribosomal RNA". The record is from RNAcentral. Lineage: Eukaryota; Viridiplantae; Streptophyta; Magnoliopsida; Poales; Poaceae.